AUUUUGACUCAGAGCGCUGCAUUGGAGCUGUUGGUUGAAAUCAGUGAAUCGUAGCACCUUUCAAAGCAAUUGAAACCAGAUCCACAAUGAGAAGUUACCUGAUUCUGUUUGUCCUGUGCGUCGCCGUGGCUGUUGUGUACGCCGAAGAAGAAGUAGAAGAAAAUACAUCGGAAGCUCCAGUGCAUACGCAAGAGCCGUCAGACGAGAAAACUACUAUUGCAAGCGAGUCCACAACCAAUGUUGCUGUUACCACCAAACUAUCUGUGCUGUCUAUUCUUUUAACAGCUAUGCCUAUUGUACUAUUGUAACCUGCGUAUUACAGUGCGAGCAACGGUCCACUUUGCUCGAUGGGACAAUGUGCGUGACGGAUGUGUCACCUGGCCUCAUGGACAUUUAAUUUUCACACUAAAAGCUGUCUUAAAAAUACCUGUACAUAAUCUAUUUUGUGUUUGUGACUACAAUGUAAUUAAUGAGUUACAGCCGUAAUGACCAAUAUCACAGUGAUCCAAAUCAUGACGAUUCAGAACGCAAUUACCACCUGUCAUUUGGCUUGGUUUGAUGAUGUCAUCACCACAUGACAACCAACACAGAAUCUGAUUGGAGCACUACUGAUUUGAUUUCCAUUGUCCGAACAACAGGAAACUAUGUACAGUAUAAGAGAUACAUUUUAAUUGUGUACUUCAAUGAAAAUAAAACAUGAUAUUGUACAAAAAAA
Saccoglossus kowalevskii is the source of this 715-nucleotide long non-coding RNA. RefSeq lists it as uncharacterized. The record is from RefSeq and is a predicted model, not a curated record. Lineage: Eukaryota; Metazoa; Hemichordata; Enteropneusta; Harrimaniidae.